This 461-nucleotide ribosomal RNA is filed under the name uncultured bacterium. Its description in RNAcentral is "bacterial SSU rRNA". It matches the Rfam family "Bacterial small subunit ribosomal RNA", at positions 33 to 507 of the family's 1533-position model. The record is from RNAcentral.
ACGCUGGCGGCGCGCCUAACACAUGCAAGUCGAACGAGAGAUGAGGAGCUUGCUCUUCAAAUCGAGUGGCGAACGGGUGAGUAACGCGUGAGGAACCUGCCUCAAAGAGGGGGACAACAGUUGGAAACGACUGCUAAUACCGCAUAAGCCCACGGCUCGGCAUCGAGCAGAGGGAAAAGGAGUGAUCCGCUUUGAGAUGGACCCGCGUCUGAUUAGCCAGUUGGCAGGGUAACGGCCUACCAAAGCGACGAUCAGUAGCCGGCCUGAGAGGGUGAACGGCCACAUUGGGACUGAGACACGGCCCAAACUCCUACGGGAGGCAGCAGUGGGGAAUAUUGCACAAUGGGGGAAACCCUGAUGCAGCAACGCCGCGUGAGUGAAGAAGUAUUUCGGUAUGUAAAGCUCUAUCAGCAGGAAAGAAAAUGACGGUACCUGACUAAGAAGCCCCGGCUAACUACGUG